CUACGGGUCGCUGCAGUGGGGAAUAUUGCGCAAUGGGGGAAACCCUGACGCAGCAACGCCGCGUGAAGGAAGAAGGCCUUCGGGUUGUAAACUUUUGUUUUUGGUGAAGAUAAUGACGGUAGCCAAGGAGAAAGCCACGGCUAACUACGUGCCAGCAGCCGCGGUAAUACGUAGGUGGCAAGCGUUGUCCGGAUUUACUGGGUGUAAAGGGCGUGUAGACGGGUUUGCAAGUCAGAUGUGAAAUGCAGGGGCUUAACCCCUGAGCUGCAUUUGAAACUGUAAAUCUUGAGUGCAGGAGAGGAAAGCGGAAUUCCUAGUGUAGCGGUGAAAUGCGUAGAUAUUAGGAGGAACACCAGUGGCGAAGGCGGCUUUCUGGACUGUAACUGACGUUGAGGCGCGAAAGCGUGGGUAACAAACAGGAUUAGAUACCCCCGUAGUC
This 439-nucleotide ribosomal RNA is filed under the name uncultured bacterium. RNAcentral's name for it is "partial 16S ribosomal RNA". It matches the Rfam family "Bacterial small subunit ribosomal RNA", at positions 339 to 795 of the family's 1533-position model. The record is from RNAcentral.